UACAGAGGUCCCAAGCGUUGUUCGGAUUCACUGGGCGUAAAGGGUGCGUAGGUGGCGAGGUAAGUCGGAUGUGAAAUCUCGGAGCUCAACUCCGAAACGGCAUUGGAAACUACCUUGCUAGAGGGUUGGAGGGGGGACUGGAAUUCUCGGCGUAGCAGUGAAAUGCGUAGAUAUCGAGAGGAACACCAGUGGCGAAGGCGAGUCCCUGGACAACUCCUGACACUGAGGCACGAAAGCUAGGGGAGCAAACAGG
Molecule: ribosomal RNA, 253 nt
Filed under: uncultured bacterium
Lineage: Bacteria
Description: partial 16S ribosomal RNA
Rfam family: Bacterial small subunit ribosomal RNA
Source: RNAcentral